RNAcentral lists this ribosomal RNA (429 nucleotides) under Chloroflexota bacterium. RNAcentral's name for it is "Chloroflexi bacterium partial 16S ribosomal RNA". It matches the Rfam family "Bacterial small subunit ribosomal RNA", at positions 355 to 776 of the family's 1533-position model. The record is from RNAcentral. Lineage: Bacteria; Bacillati; Chloroflexota.
UGGGGAAUAUUGCACAAUGGGCGCAAGCCUGAUGCAGCCAUGCCGCGUGUAUGAAGAAGGCCUUCGGGUUGUAAAGUACUUUCAGCGGGGAGGAAGGGAGUAAAGUUAAUACCUUUGCUCAUUGACGUUACCCGCAGAAGAAGCACCGGCUAACUCCGUGCCAGCAGCCGCGGUAAUACGGAGGGUGCAAGCGUUAAUCGGAAUUACUGGGCGUAAAGCGCACGCAGGCGGUUUGUUAAGUCAGAUGUGAAAUCCUCGGGCUCAACCUGGGAACUGCAUCUGAUACUGGCAAGCUGGAGUCUCGUAGAGGGGGGUAGAAUUCCAGGUGUAGCGGUGAAAUGCGUAGAGAUCUGGAGGAAUACCGGUGGCGAAGGCGGCCCCCUGGACGAAGACUGACGCUCAGGUGCGAAAGCGUGGGGAGCAAACAGG